GGCGCGCUUCCGCCCGCGUCCGAUGGCCGGAGACCAAGCACGCCCACAGGUGUUCGACGCAGGCCCGACCGGCGCAUGCCGUGACCCCUUGCUUGCUGGUUGCCCUCUGCUCCCGGCUUCUGAGGUGCGAGUUAAGCUCUUGUAGAAAUCAGAGAGCAACUGCUUAAUUCGUGCGGCACUGUGGUACUAUCUAGCAUCUCUGUUUGACAAUUCCCAGGAAAUUUCUUAUUUUCUUUUCGGUGCAUGUAGGUUGCCGGAGGAUUGCGCUCCUGGAUUGGAUUGGAGUUUAGAUGGCAAUUGUAUCAAGUUAUAGCCUUAUAGGGCUGAUACAGUUAUAGGAUCACAAUCCAGGAUUGGAUUGGAUUGAGGCGAAACUUUGCACUUAUCGAUGAAAUACCAACUUGUAUGUCAACCCUGUUCAGUUAUACCUGAAAUGUCAACUGUAUCCUAGUUUGCCCAUGAUUAAUUAAUCUAUUAACUUGCCAAUCUGCUUAGUUGGUUAAGUCUCAAGUCUCAACUGUGUGUUUAUUGUCCAGGAAGCAAAGCAAAUGAUGAAAUUAAAGCUGUUAGUACAUAAAGAUUGAAGAGCACAUAUUCUGAUGUGAUGGACUAUGUUAUAGGAAUGCUGACAUGGUUGAGUUUUCGAUGGAAUCAUAUGUGCGUCAGCUCAAAUCAUCUUACAUUGUUACAUACUUUUAC
Molecule: long non-coding RNA, 699 nt
Filed under: Triticum aestivum (bread wheat)
Lineage: Eukaryota; Viridiplantae; Streptophyta; Magnoliopsida; Poales; Poaceae
Description: long non-coding RNA (TAES_LNC013075)
Source: RNAcentral